Engraulis encrasicolus (European anchovy) is the source of this 894-nucleotide long non-coding RNA. RefSeq lists it as uncharacterized. NCBI's taxonomy places the organism in Eukaryota, Metazoa, Chordata, Actinopteri, Clupeiformes, Engraulidae. The record is from RefSeq and is a predicted model, not a curated record. The transcript has 3 exons.
UCUUCUCGUUCCUCGCCCAAGAGGUAUACAGCACGCUCGUUCAGAAUCGGCGUGGCCACCACGGCCGCUAAGCGGGGUCUGUCCCCUACUGCGAUCAAGGCGCUGGGCCGUUGGUCGUGUGGCGCAUACGCUUCCUGCAUUUGCCUCACUCCUCAUCACGUCGUUGAAGCAUGCUAUAUCUGGUCUGUAACUUUAUGUUUUCUAUUCUCAUUUCUGGUGACGGUGGUAUUUUGCUGCACCGGCGGCAUUCACUCCAUCUCUUGGGGGGCUAUCGCUCCGGUCACCCGGUCAUGUCUGUAUUCUAUCCUUCUCUCAUCUAUCAGAUCGAUUUUAUAGUGGUCCGUAAGCCUGUUAUCUCUAUAUUUUGUAACAUUGAACCAGCCUAGUUGCCAUGGUUGUUUAUCUAUGAUGUCAACUAUCAUACCACAUAUUAUAGCCUACAUUCAUUCAUCCAUCCAUUCAUUUACUCAUUCAUCACCAUGUUCUACUCUCUCUCCUAGGUCACGAUUCCGGCUCUCUACCUACUGUCAUAAUCUAAGUUUUCAGCGCUCUCCUGACCAAGGUGCAUCUAUCAAUCAAAUCAUAACGCUCUGCUGUGUCUCUGCUCUCAGCGCAUCCGCGCCAUGUCUUCUCGCAUAGCCUAAGAUGGUGUCUCCUUGUAAGCGGUAGUUAAGCCGAUUUUGAAGCCACCACCACCCCUCCGUCCACCGUCACCAGAGGUUCCCGUCUGUUAGGGGGCAGGCUACGCCCGCCUCCAUCUCCGCUGGAGGAUAUGCUGUCCUAUCCCGGAGUUCAACGCGAAGACGGGAACCUUCGCCAAACUGAUUCAUGCAUUUUAUCAAGUGUUAUUGUUCGCCAAACUUUUAUGCAUUCCUGUAUCAUGUCUAAUGUUCA